This 468-nucleotide ribosomal RNA is filed under the name uncultured bacterium. RNAcentral's name for it is "partial 16S ribosomal RNA". It matches the Rfam family "Bacterial small subunit ribosomal RNA", at positions 28 to 507 of the family's 1533-position model. The record is from RNAcentral.
GACGAACGCUGGCGGCGUGCUUAACACAUGCAAGUCGAACGGAAAGGCCCUGCUUUUGUGGGGCGCUCGAGUGGCGAACGGGUGAGUAACACGUGAGUAACCUGCCCUUGACUUUGGGAUAACUUCAGGAAACUGGGGCUAAUACCGGAUAGGAGCUCCUGCUGCACGGUGGGGGUUGGAAAGUUUCGGCGGUUGGGGAUGGACUCGCGGCUUACCAGCUUGUUGGUGGGGUAGUGGCUUACCAAGGCUUUGACGGGUAGCCGGCCUGAGAGGUUGACCGGCCACCUUGGGACUGAGGUACGGCCCAGACGCCUACGGGCGGCAGCGGUGGGGAAUAUUGCACAAUGGGCGGAAGCCUGAUGCGGCAGCCCCGCGUGCGGGAUGACGGCCUUCGGGUUGUAAACCGCUUUCGCCUGUGACGAAGCGUGAGUGACGGUACUGGGUAAAGAAGCACCGGCUAACUACGUG